GAAUCCUGCCCGAUACAUUACUCAGCUAGGUUGAGGAGAAAAAUACAAACCAUUGACAGCUACAUUGAUAGCUACAAUGAUAGUCUAGAUGUGGUAUGGGACUCCAGAUGGAAGUACUGAAGAUUAAACAGAUGUUGGAAGGUGAAGAGAUGGGAGGGGAGAAUGAUGUGAGUAUCCCAAACAGAAACAGAACCUGGACAGCCAGGGGGCCUAGACAGAGUGUGCACAGCCACGGUCUAGGAAAUCUGAGGAGUCCAUGAGUUACGGAGCAUAGGGUACAGGUUAAAAGUAACAGAACUUGAGACGAGUCUGAGGGGAUACAAGAGAGACCAUUUAAGGCCUUGAGAGUGAGCUAAGUAGUUUGAACUUGAACCCAAGAGCUUCAUCUUUUUACAAGUCAUGCGGUACUGUUUAACUUAACAACCUGGAUCUGACUAUGUAGGUCAAGUAUUGACCCCAACCUACUGCAGCUAUUUUGGACAAGUUCGAACCUACAUUUCUUCACAGUCUUCUUAUACGAAGAACGGCGCUAAGUGCUGCUGCAUACAAAUUUGUGAGGAUCAAGUGAAAAUAUGCUAGAAAUCAGCCAGCACACAAUGCGUAGUCUAUGGAGAAAAUAUUUGCACAAAAUUACUUGGAUCAUUUUUAUGGAAUCACAACUUCUCUCCCAGUCAUUUCAGAUGAUGGAUAGUUAUUUUAUUCCUUCUAACAAAAUAUCUCACUCAGGAUUCUAUCUGAUACUGUUUUGGUCAGUCUUGAAAUCCGGCAAAUAGAGCUGGUCUGAGGAAGAGAAGAUUGCAAGAUAUAUGAAACUUGAGUUUUAAGUGUUUAUUCUUCAAUAUGCUCUCCUCCAUCUUGUCCUCUUUAAUUCCACAUGUUAAACCUCCACAAUGGUCUUUUCUUUAGCUUAAUGGCAUUGAUUUUGCCAAAAUAACAACUACGACUGGUUAAAUAAAGUUAUGUUUUGUCAGCUA
RNAcentral lists this long non-coding RNA (974 nucleotides) under Equus caballus (horse). RNAcentral's name for it is "lncRNA (ENSECAG00000037569.3)". Lineage: Eukaryota; Metazoa; Chordata; Mammalia; Perissodactyla; Equidae. The record is from RNAcentral.